RNAcentral lists this long non-coding RNA (1927 nucleotides) under Felis catus (domestic cat). RNAcentral describes it as "lncRNA (ENSFCAG00000051728.1)". Lineage: Eukaryota; Metazoa; Chordata; Mammalia; Carnivora; Felidae. The record is from RNAcentral.
CCGUGGGGCCCCAGCCUCCAGCCCGAGGCACAGGGCUCCGCAACCUGCAGCCUGAAUGAGAGGGAAUCGAGGAGAUGACGCCCUUAAGCUCUGAAAAGACAUUUUCCCAAGCAGCUGGCCAGGCCCCACCCGCUCCGGGGGAUUUUCCAAUCUGCUCCCGAAAGGCCCAGCUCCCAGCGUAUCGGGAUCAUUCCGGGACACGGCGUAGGCCCACUUCCCUGGCCCCGGCCCCGAGCCCCUGAGCAGAGCCCAUCCGAAGGUCCCUCCUGCUGCCUUUCCCGUCAGUGAUCUGCAACAGGGGGCUGGAGAUGAGGGGAGAGGGGCCCCCCCGGAGCCCUCCUCUCCUUCGCAGCCUCAGGCCGCCGAGGUACAAGACCUCGUACCGGAGGUACCAGAAUGUUCAGCGCCCUCGUGCGACAUGGAAAUAAGUCCUGGCUUGUGCUGCCCAGAGCCCAAGGGCCUGCAGCGAUGACUCGGAGAACAGCCGGCAUCCCUUCCCAGGAGAGGGUGGCUCGCCCCCGACCCGAGUGCCAUCCCUGCGCGCCGGUGCCCUCGUGGAAAAUGGGGCGGCCUCUCCACAAGGCGGUUGUGAGAAGCCAGUGGGACGGGCAGCAGCGUGCGCCCUGCGCAUCGUCAGGUAUUUUCCAGAGCCGCCUUUCCCCUUCCUGCCCUGCCUCUGUCACCUCAGAUUUGGCGUCUGUGGCUCGUGAAUCCCGGGGCCGGUUUUGGAACCGGCACUUAGUAGGGGCAGACAAAGGUGCCUCGGCCGCCUCGCCCCGGCCGCCUCUUCUGCGCCGAGGUUGUGGCACGCGGGGGCCUCGGGGGCCUCGGGAGACGAGGCUGGCAGGGGCAGGCACAGUUGGUGCGUGGCAAACCGAACCUGUCAAUUCCAGAAGCGUUUGGCACAUUGUUGAAGCGACUAGAUGACUUUGAGAAGUGUCUGCGUGUUUUUUCCCCAAGUGUAGUUAUUUUUGCCGCUGUGAAAUGUUCUGAAAUCUGACAGUUUUGUUUUGAGUCUUAGCCCGAUGUGAAGACAGAAAGGAACACUGCCUCCCAGUUCUGUGGCACUCGCUUCUUGGGGUCCCCUGAGGACACCCUGAUCCUGGCAGAGGUGGGCGAGGGGACGCCAGGUGACCGAGGUCUCCCAGGUGUGAGCGCACAGUGGGUCGGGCCUGGGAGCCUCCAGACCCACUCGGGGCCCGAGACCAAGGGCUGAUUUGGCCAAAGUUAAAGCACCUACUGUGCGCCGGGCCCUCGCAGCAUUUAUUGAGCGCCCGUGAUGUUCAUCCUCAGACACAGACUAGGCACCUACUGUGUGUCAGGCCUCCGUCCACCCAACGUUUACCAGGCACCUGCCAUGUGGUGUAGAGACACCGGAGGGCUCUCGGCACGGGGCUGACAAGCUCCCCUUUCGCACUGCUGGCAGGAGGCAGGUGAGGGGGCUGCCGAAGGGGCGGAGACCCCGGAGGAGGGAGAGAUGACUCGAAUGCCGUCCCGGCUCCUCCAAAGCCCGCAGCCCAGCCGGGACCCUGCUGGGGAGCGGCCCAGGGCGGGAGGAUCCGCGUGCAACAGGGGGACUGGAUACCGUCCCCAUCCCCUCUGCCACCCUCUUCCCACCCUCUAGCUGACCCCAUGCAGCCCACGUUGUCCCCGCCACGGGUGCCACGUGCCCGGGCCGCUCCGGGCGUCCCACACCGCGUCUCUCGCCCGCAAACCUCUCACGGGCCUCCUCAGCGAUGUGGGCCGUGCCUGGGUCUCCUGGGCGGGCAGCGUCGUGCCUGCCUUCUCCUCGGGGUCGUGGACUCCGAGCACAGGGUCAGAAGGCCAUAAGGUGACGUCGCUGAGAGCCGGCGGAGCGCCCGGCCUUACCUGCGUCGUCUCACCGGACCGCAGCGCCCCGGGGAGGCAGCGCGGACCGCAGUCCCCA